This 122-nucleotide ribosomal RNA is filed under the name Acyrthosiphon pisum (pea aphid). Lineage: Eukaryota; Metazoa; Arthropoda; Insecta; Hemiptera; Aphididae. The record is from RNAcentral.
GCCAACGACCAUACCACGUUGAAUACACCAGUUCUCGUCCGAUCACUGAAGUUAAGCAACGUCGGGCGUAGUUAGUACUUGGAUGGGUGACCGCUUGGGAACACUACGUGCCGUUGGCAUAU